CAGGAUCACAGUUUCAGAGGUCUCAGUCCAUAGGCAGCUGGCUCCAUUCCUCCAUGCUUGAGAUAACAUUCUAAUCCCGAAAGCAACAACUCCAUUUGCAAGUGCCUCUCAAGAAAAGAAAGCAGCCUGCUUUGCUGGAGAUCUACUAAAACAUGAUCCAUGCCUUAUGUAUGCCUUAUCUAGUCACCUGUCAGCUGCCACCAUGGACCUUCAGACUGUCCUGAUGCUGAAUACCAUCAACUGUCCAUGUCUCAACUGAUAGAGAACAAGGACUUCAGGUUACUUCCUCCAGCUUCAUCCUCUCUCAAUAGGAAGCAGCUUGGAGAUGUCAUUGCCCGUUUUUCCAUAGAAAUGAAAAUUUGAAAUUGGCAGUGGGGAAAUGUAACAGUGGUCCAUUUCACCUUU
Non-coding RNA from Ictidomys tridecemlineatus (thirteen-lined ground squirrel), 405 nucleotides. NCBI's taxonomy places the organism in Eukaryota, Metazoa, Chordata, Mammalia, Rodentia, Sciuridae. The record is from RefSeq and is a predicted model, not a curated record.